CCGAAUUCUUCCCCAACAGAGUUUGAUCCUGGCUCAGAUUGAACGCUGGCGGCAGGCCUAACACAUGCCAGUCGAGCGGAUGAUGGGAGCUUGCUCCCGGAUUCAGCGGCGGACGGGUGAGUAAUGCCUAGGAAUCUGCCUGGUAGUGGGGGACAACGUUUCGAAAGGAACGCUAAUACCGCAUACGUCCUACGGGAGAAAGCAGGGGACCUUCGGGCCUUGCGCUAUCAGAUGAGCCUAGGUCGGAUUAGCUAGUUGGUGGGGUAACGGCUCACCAAGGCGACGAUCCGUAACUGGUCUGAGAGGAUGAUCAGUCACACUGGAACUGAGACACGGUCCAGACUCCUACGGGAGGCAGCAGUGGGGAAUAUUGGACAAUGGGCGAAAGCCUGAUCCAGCCAUGCCGCGUGUGUGAAGAAGGUCUUCGGAUUGUAAAGCACUUUAAGUUGGGAGGAAGGGCAGUAAGUUAAUACCUUGCUGUUUUGACGUUACCAACAGAAUAAGCACCGGCUAACUUCGUGCCAGCAGCCGCGGUAAUACGAAGGGUGCAAGCGUUAAUCGGAAUUACUGGGCGUAAAGCGCGCGUAGGUGGUUUGGUAAGAUGGAUGUGAAAUCCCCGGGGCUCACCUGGGGACUGCAUCCA
Molecule: ribosomal RNA, 643 nt
Filed under: uncultured bacterium
Lineage: Bacteria
Description: bacterial SSU rRNA
Rfam family: Bacterial small subunit ribosomal RNA
Source: RNAcentral